GGAUGUGAGGGUGGUUUGGCUGCGACAUCUGUCAUCCCAUUGAUUGCCAGGGUUGAUUUGGCUGAUCUGGCUGGCUAGGUGGGUGUCCCCUCCCUCCCUGCUCCCUGUGUGGUCCUCCUGGCCGACCUUACCCAAUAGAGAGAGGACCAUUCUUCGGUCAAGGGUAUACUGGUACAGUAGCUGUGCUCCCCUGCUAGAACCUCCAAACAAGCUCUCAAGAAAGUAUGUUUGCCCUAGCUGGUUUGGCCCAGGGGAUAGAGCGUCAGCCU
RNAcentral lists this small nuclear RNA (269 nucleotides) under Myotis brandtii (Brandt's bat). RNAcentral describes it as "7SK RNA". It matches the Rfam family "7SK RNA", at positions 1 to 290 of the family's 331-position model. From Rfam's summary of the family: 7SK was discovered as an abundant small nuclear RNA in the mid-70s but a possible function has only recently been suggested. Two independent studies have found that 7SK RNA binds the CDK9/cyclin T complex (known as elongation factor P-TEFb). Lineage: Eukaryota; Metazoa; Chordata; Mammalia; Chiroptera; Vespertilionidae. The record is from Rfam by way of RNAcentral.